UUUCCGUAGGUGAACCUGCGGAAGGAUCAUUAAUAAAUGGCUCCGCGUUAGGAGCACUUAAUAAUCCUACCUUUGUGAAUUUGUUGUUUGAAAUAAUUUUUUUUAAAAUUAUUGAAUGUCUUUCCCUGUUGAAUUAGAGUGUUUUCGGACACAAAGAUUCGCAGGGAUAGUCAAUAAUUUUUAAAAAGACCUUUUUUAAAUUAAACUUUUUGUAUUCAUUUGUCUAAAAUUAUUUUUAUAAUAUAAAAACAACUUUUGACAAUGGAUCUCUUGGUUCUCGCAACGAUGAAGAACGCAGCAAAAUGCGAUAAGUAGUGUGAAUUGCAGAAUACGUGAAUCAUCGAAUCUUCGAACGCAUAUUGCACUUUUUUAGUUUACUAAAAAAGUAUGUCUGUUUGAGUACCAGUAAAAUAUUCUCAUAAAAACAUUGUUUUUAUGGUUAUGAGUGUUUUACAACGAUACAAGUUGUUUCACUUUAAAUUUUUUUUAAAAUUUGAAUUUUUUCUAAUUUUAAAAUAAAAUUGGAUAAAAUUUUCCGUAAAAAGGAAUAACCUAAACAAUUUUAAUUUUAAUAAUUAGAAUUCAAAUAUCAAAAAGGAAUUUAUUCAAAAUAACUUGAUCUCAAAUCAGAUAAGAGUACCCGCUGAACUUAAGCAUAUCAAUAAGCGGAGGAAAAGAAACUAACAAGGAUUCCCUUAGUAACGGCGAGUGAGCGGAAGAGCUCAAAUUUGAAAUCUUCAAGGUUUUACCUUGACGAAUUGUAGUUUAAAGAAGUGUUUUCUGUUGAAGUUUCGGUAAAAGUUCUUUGGAAUAGGACAUCAUAGUGGGUGAGAAUCCCGUAUUUGACCGUUACUUUCAGCUGUGUGAUACACUUUCAAAGAGUCGGAUUGUUUGGGAAUGCAGUCCAAAAUGGUGGUAAAUUUCAUCUAAAGCUAAAUAUUGGCGGGAGACCGAUAGCGAACAAGUACCGUGAGGGAAAGAUGAAAAGAACUUUGAAAAGAGAGUUAAACAGUACGUGAAAUUGUCAAAAGGGAAGCGUUUGACACCAGUGUUGUUUUCUCGAAAAUCAAUUAAAAAUGGCUUGAUUUUGUGUUGUAUUGACCUUAAAAGCUUUCUGCACUUUCUUCAUGUCUUUUUUAAUGCACUUUUCGUUUAACAAGUCAACAUCAGUUUCUUUUGUUGUAAAAAGGUCAUUGGAAGGUGGCUUUCUUUUCGGAGAAAGUGUUUAUAGCCUUUGGCCCUGCAAUCGGAGAGACUGAGGUCUGCAGCGUAGAUCCUUCUGGAUUAGAUUCAUUUGUGCUAAGUUAUAGCUUUUUAUAGACAACUUGUUGACUAUGAUUAGUCUUGUAGCUUACUCGCUUAUGCAAUUU
This 1370-nucleotide unclassified non-coding RNA is filed under the name uncultured Neocallimastigales. Its description in RNAcentral is "partial contains small subunit ribosomal RNA, internal transcribed spacer 1, 5.8S ribosomal RNA, internal transcribed spacer 2, and large subunit ribosomal RNA". The stretch from base 617 to 1370 matches the Rfam family "Eukaryotic large subunit ribosomal RNA", at positions 1 to 617 of the family's 3401-position model. Lineage: Eukaryota; Fungi; Neocallimastigomycota; Neocallimastigomycetes; Neocallimastigales. The record is from RNAcentral.